AGCCCUUUUCGUAUGAUCAUGUUUGCUGAAGCCAAACUUUGUUCCAGCAAGUUAGGUUUCCACGUGUAAUAAAUUCUAUUCCAUGUUUGCGUCCUUCUAGUUUAUGGUCGUCAGUGGAUCUUUGUCUUCGCACUCUCACAUUUUCGUCUAGGAUCGAUGCUGUUCUUGUUGUAAUAAUAAUAUUGAUUUGUAUUUUUUAUUUUUUAUUUUUUAUUUUUUAUAUGUAUUGAUUGGUUAUCAAUCAAAUUUGAUAUUAAAUAAUAACUUGCUCUGCAC
This 276-nucleotide long non-coding RNA is filed under the name Populus tremula. Its description in RNAcentral is "long non-coding RNA (PTRE_LNC003041)". Lineage: Eukaryota; Viridiplantae; Streptophyta; Magnoliopsida; Malpighiales; Salicaceae. The record is from RNAcentral.